GGUCAGAUAGCCAAGUGGUUAAGGCAGCACACACUUAGAGUGUGAGGUCCCUGGUUUGAAUCCGGGUCUGCUCA
Molecule: transfer RNA, 74 nt
Filed under: Cronartium ribicola 11-2
Lineage: Eukaryota; Fungi; Basidiomycota; Pucciniomycetes; Pucciniales; Coleosporiaceae
Description: tRNA-Leu (TAG) (tRNA-Leu-TAG-28-1)
Rfam family: tRNA
About the family: Transfer RNA (tRNA) molecules are approximately 80 nucleotides in length.
Source: RNAcentral